GCCACCUUAUCUGACUUUACUAUGCCCCAUUCAUUCUAUUUCCCUCCAACCCCCAGCUUACCCUUUGUUACAGUCUUUGAACUUUCUAUUCCAGACUGAAGAAUCUGCACACUUCUGCUAUUAACUCCCCAUUUUAGAAGACAUUCAUUACACAGAGAAGCCCAGCAACAGUUCUACUGAAGAUACUGCAAAAAACUGAGAUUUCUGCCUUGUACUUUUCAAUACUAAUAGUUACAUCACGAUUUGUCCCCUUUAAUUUUCAAAGGAGUAUGGACCUGUAUAUAAUGAGGUUUUAUGUUGAAGUGUCUUGCUGCAAUUCAUGAAGAGUCCUAGGAGAUCUGCAUCCAACCUCCAACACUGCGUCUUUGAAGAUAUCAUUUCCAACCACCCCGUGUACUGUCGCUCCAGUGCCACUGGCUUCCUUCAGAUCCUGAGUGGUAAGAUUCCUGUUUCUCAGGGUCAUUGUGUUGUUCCCUCGGCUUUGUGUUCUCUAUUGUACAUUCACGGGGUUAUGUCUUCCUUAUAAUCCAAACCGACCACACCAAAAAACUUCUUCAGUUAU
Molecule: non-coding RNA, 562 nt
Organism: Peromyscus maniculatus bairdii (prairie deer mouse)
Lineage: Eukaryota; Metazoa; Chordata; Mammalia; Rodentia; Cricetidae
Source: RefSeq, a predicted model, not a curated record